CGAGCUGUAGUUCACGUCUGAUUGUGCAAAAUCGACUUCAUAACGCUGGUGUGUGUCAUCUCUCUCAUCCCAGUCACCAAGGAUAAAAAUUGCUAUUCAGCUUCCGGUUGAUUAAACAUUUUCAUAAUAAGACAGAUCAGCAACAUUGAGAAAAAUUCAGUAGUUCAGUCCAGUUUCAUCGACGUAGAGGUUCAGUUUGUAGGAAAGUUUUGGCAAAAAUGUUCCAGCGAAUUAUCGUCACAAUAUCCUUGCUCGUGUUACUUUCAUUGGGUACCGAAUCUCACCGAUAUUGCAAGUUGGACGAUGACUGUGAACUACUCAUGCAAUUUUGUGUUCGGGGAACGUGUGAAACGGACUGGGCAAUUACAUUCGGACUGGCCCUUCUAUUACUGGUCAUCCUUUUGUUCUGCAUAUGCUCAAUUGUGUGUUGUGUUACUUUCUGUCACAAAUGUCUGCAAAUUUGCUGCCACAAAUCUGACAGACAUUCACGAACAGGUCCCACUGGAAUGGCGAUUAAUCAAAUUGAUUUACCUAUGGUGAUUGUUCCCUUAAAUCGAUAUGAUCUACCAGGCCACUCCCGAACUAACACAAAUAAUGUGGAACUGCCACCGCCUUACAAUGCAAACGACUUUACUUACAUCCGGAAAUAAUGAAUGUGGUGCACUCAAUCAAAA
Bradysia coprophila is the source of this 674-nucleotide long non-coding RNA. The record is from RefSeq and is a predicted model, not a curated record. NCBI's taxonomy places the organism in Eukaryota, Metazoa, Arthropoda, Insecta, Diptera, Sciaridae.